CUGACUCAUACACUGUUCGCUUUCCAGACAUUUGUACAUUACUGCAUAUGCUUUAUACGCACUUUUUGACAAGUUGUGGUGCACCUGAGCACUGUAUACAAUAAUUUCAUUAUAUAUUAUAUUCUGGGCAUGACUACUUCCCAGAUGGAAGAAGAGUUUUAGUUCUUGUUUUUUAAGUCUUUUGUCUUUGCUAAGUUUACCUUUAUAUCACUUAUUUUAGACCUGUGUAACAGACAGAUGUGAGCAUACAUCGGGGUUACCCUGUGUAGUGGUAAAUGGAAAUUGUAGCUCACCGUAGUUAGUUGAAGGCAGGAUGAAACAGCUUAAUAACAACAUGAGAGAGGAAAGGAAUAAUAUUCACAAAUUUAUUUGCUAGCAGUGGUUUGUAAAAUCUACAUAGUAGUAAUUGACAAUAGUAACGAUGUGCUGGUGGAUACUGGGAAGUUGGUAGUGUGUAAGCUGUGCAUUCUGCUGAGAGAGAGGAAGACAGGGUGAAGAUUACAUUGUCCUUUUCUAUUCGGCCAAUGUUAUUGUUCUUGGUUAAUGACUGACAUGAAUAGAGAUGUGUGUUCUCUAUUAGCUGAUUGAACCAAAGAGGGCGAGAGAGAGAGAGGGAUGAUCUCAGUUAUAUAGGGUGUCAGAUGUUUCUCAUUGAUCUCUAAGCAUGGAGAUAAAACACAAUGGAAUCAGGCAGUCAUCUGAUAAGCAACAAGUGUGUUGAUUCUGUUUUGAAUCUCAGUUAGGUAAGUCUGAGCAAGCCCCUACAUCUGUUUCCACAAUUUGAACUUUUCUUCUAAUUCCUUAACUGGUGUCACAGACAGUCUGACUUAAACUUCUCAAGAAGAUUAUAAUGAACUGGGGAGAGCUGAGGACUGAACCCUGAUAAACACUUAAAAUCCUCACUGAACUUCUUGCUUAAUUUCACACCUGUAUAUGGCUUCCACAAGCCAUUUACCUACACUUAAUUUCCUUAAUGAUGAUCAGAUUACAGGAUAUAAGUACUCUGUCAAAUAUGUUAUCCAAAUCCUCAAAUGCUUGUUGUUUGCUCUUAGCUAAGAAUGUCUUGUAGUUGUCUCAUUAAGAAGAUGGCAUCAAUGGUUUCUCUUCCUGGUACAAACAUGAACUGUUUCUUACUUUAAUUAAUUCACUCCCUGUGCUAGAAUGUUCGUUCUACAUCAAGCCAAUGCCUCUGAAACUACUUCUUUGCUUCAUAGCAGUUGAUGCUAUACCAGUCAUUGUGGAUAAACCUCCCUUGCACUACUUGAUUGCCCAGGUAAGGGACUGCUAUGUACUCAACUUCACCAGAUAUUUUCAACGUCUUGGCAAAUGUCCCCGAUGAUCCCCUACUGCUUACCUUUCCAUCAUAUCUUAAAUGGCCAUUUGAAUCACACAGCAAUUAACCUUGAUACCUAUUACCAUCUGUUAAAUCUAUUGGUGAUAAUCCUUUCCUCUCGUACACAUUCUCCUCAUUCAGGAACCAAUUGUUGUUGCAUUUUCAAUUUUCUCUUUUUCUUGGUCCCAGGAAGAGUAAGUGUGCCACUAUCAUUAUGGACACAUUUUUUCACCAACAACUUCUUGGUAUACACUAACACACUGUCUUGCAUGCCUAUACUCCUCUGGCACAGAACAUUGGCAAAUGUCUUACGUUGAGCUUCUUGCUAGAAAUACUUGGCAUCAAGUUACUUGAUAUAAUUUGUUCCAUACUUGCCAGCCUU
Molecule: long non-coding RNA, 1715 nt
Organism: Octopus sinensis (East Asian common octopus)
Lineage: Eukaryota; Metazoa; Mollusca; Cephalopoda; Octopoda; Octopodidae
Exons: 3
Source: RefSeq, a predicted model, not a curated record